AAAAAAAAAAGUUGUUUCGCGUAAUUUUUUUUCCUUCUCAUUUCUCUCUCUCUUACUCGACUUUUGGCGAUAAAAAUGAGGCUUUGCGAAUCUCUUCAAUUCUGGUGGAUUUGUUGAAUUGAGAAGAGGUGUUAAUACUAUAGAUGGCUAUAGAUGAGAAGGAACUAGAUCGGAGUAAGAGCUCAUACAAGGCACGAACCGCAUUGGAGUUGUUGAGGGAGAACAAGAACAAGUUUGAUCUUGUUAUAUGCGAUGUCGACAUGCCGGACAUGGAUGGUUUCAAGCUGCUUGAGCUUGUUGGUCUUGAAAUGGACUUACCUGUCAAUGUCAUAAGUAUGAAGCUUUCCUUGUUUUAGCUCUGUUUGAUUCCAUCAAACUUUUCAUAGUUCCUAGAGAAAGUUUUGAUCUUUAGACAGACUUGAAUUUGGUUCUUUAACAUGAUUCCUUGUAUUUGAAGAUAUUGUUUUGUAAAAAUUUGAAUUUUUUUUCUAAGAUACUCUCUUUAUUCUUAACCAUUGGA
Arabidopsis lyrata subsp. lyrata is the source of this 520-nucleotide long non-coding RNA. RefSeq lists it as uncharacterized. The record is from RefSeq and is a predicted model, not a curated record. Lineage: Eukaryota; Viridiplantae; Streptophyta; Magnoliopsida; Brassicales; Brassicaceae. The transcript has 3 exons.